RNAcentral lists this ribosomal RNA (575 nucleotides) under uncultured rumen bacterium. RNAcentral describes it as "bacterial SSU rRNA". It matches the Rfam family "Bacterial small subunit ribosomal RNA", at positions 347 to 916 of the family's 1533-position model. The record is from RNAcentral.
GGCAGCAGCUAAGAAUAUUCCGCAAUGGACGAAAGUCUGACGGAGCGACGCCGCGUGGAUGAUGAAGGCCGGAAGGUUGUAAAAUCCUUUUAUGACUGAGGAAUAAGUGAAGUGAGAGAAACGCUUCGUGGUGACUGUAGGUCAUGAAUAAGCAACGGCUAAUUACGUGCCAGCAGCCGCGGUAACACGUAAGUUGCGAGCGUUGUUCGGAAUUAUUGGGCGUAAAGGGUAUGUAGGCGGUUCUGCAAGUCUGGUGUGAAAUGCCGGGGCUCAACCCCGGAACUGCGUUGGAAACUGCAGGACUUGAAUCGCUGAGGGGCAGCCAGAAUUCCAGGUGUAGGGGUGAAAUCUGUAGAUAUCUGGAAGAAUACCAAUGGCGAAGGCAGGCUGCCAGCAGAUGAUUGACGCUGAGGUACGAAGGUGCGGGGAGCAAACAGGAUUAGAUACCCUGGUAGUCCGCACAGUCAACUAUGUACACUGGGUGUCCGUGCAUGAGCAUGGGUGCCGAAGCAAACGCGAUAAGUGUACCGCCUGGGGAGUAUGCCCGCAAGGGUGAAACUCAAAGGAAUUGACGG